GUAGUCACCCAGGUUGCCGCAAGGCCUCCUGGGUAACCUACCACCCUUUGUUUAUUACACCUUGUUGCUUUGGCAAGCCUGCCCUCGGGCUGCUGGCUCCGGCCGGCGAGCGCUUGCCAGAGGACCUAAACUCUGUUUGUCUAUACUGUCUGAGUACUAUAUAAUAGUUAAAACUUUCAGCAACGGAUCUCUUGGUUCU
Molecule: unclassified non-coding RNA, 199 nt
Filed under: rhizosphere metagenome
Description: partial ribosomal RNA internal transcribed spacer region
Source: RNAcentral